CACUUUCCUCUCUCGUCUCUCGUCUCUCGUCUCUCUCUCCUCACGCCACUCUAAUUCUCUCGUUGUUCUCAAACAGUAACAAUGGCGUCAUCUUCAAAGCAAAAUCCUUCUUCUUCAAAACCCCCAAGGCAUCCAUCUCCCAUCAAGGCCUCACUUCCCACGAAAUCCGGUGUACCGGAAGAAUCCCAAUUUCGAAACCCUAAUAACCCGUCGACGUCGUCUAGUUCACCGAUUUCGAUGGCGGUGGAGGAUCAGGUCCUGGGGCGUUCCACUCACCUCACCCGCCCGGAGCUUCUCCGACGCAGAUCGCACAAUUUGAAGCAGCUGGCCAGAUGCUAUAGAGACCAUUACUGGGCUCUAAUGGAGGAUCUCAAGGCGCAACACAGAUAUUAUAGCUGGAACUAUGGUGUUAGUCCUUUCAAAGAUGAGAGUCAUCAGAAAAACAAGAGACGUAAGGUAGAAGGACAGACUGGGGAUGAGAUCGAAGGUAGCGGAGACAAUGAUAAUAACAACAAUGAUGGCGUUAAGGCUGGUAACUGUGUGGCUUGUGGUAAUGGUUGCAAAUCCAAGGCCAUGGCACUCACCAAUUACUGUCAGCUUCAUAUUCUCAUGGAUAAAAAGCAGAAGCUUUACACCUCUUGUACUUACGUCAACAAAAGAGCUCAGUCAAAAGCAAUAACUUGUCCAAAACCAACACUUGCAUCAACUGUUCCUGCCCUGUGUAACGUGCACUUCCAGAAAGCCCAAAAGGAUGUUGCUCGUGCGUUGAAGGAUGCUGGUCAUAACGUUUCUUCAGCAAACAAGCCUCCCCCGAAACUACAUGACAUAAUAGCCGCAUUUGUGCAUCAUAUUCAAAUAAAAAGAAAGGCUCCACGAAAAGAGGCCAAAUUGAAAAGCUCAGUGAAAGAAGAAAUUACAAGCUAAAUCAGACAGUUAUAGUGAACAGAAGCUGUUUGUUUCCAUAAUUGUGCAAAAUGGAAGAUUGAGCUGUGAGUGCCAAGGUUACAACUUGCAAGGAGCUUUAGUUAACUGGAGAGCAACAUUGACACAAUGGUUCAGAUUAAGCGUUUAGAUUGAAAUGAGGAUAUCUAAGCACUAUGAUAAUACCAUUAUCUAAGUUCUAUAGUAGAAUUCCCAAAUCAUUUAGCUACUGGUAGCUUUCAUGGCUAAGUGAAAAAAAGAUGUUUCUUUGGGUAGUUGCUGUUGUGACCUUUCACCUUUCAGUACUCCUUAAUCUAAAUCGAUUUGUUCUUGCA
Molecule: RNA transcript, 1256 nt
Organism: Capsella rubella
Lineage: Eukaryota; Viridiplantae; Streptophyta; Magnoliopsida; Brassicales; Brassicaceae
Gene name: INO80 complex subunit D
Exons: 3
Source: RefSeq, a predicted model, not a curated record